CAGUCGCCGCGGGAAUACGUAGGUGGCAAGCGUUAUCCGGAAUUAUUGGGCGUAAAGCGCGCGUAGGCGGUUUCUUAAGUCUGAUGUGAAAGCCCACGGCUCAACCGUGGAGGGUCAUUGGAAACUGGGAAACUUGAGUGCAGAAGAGGAAAGUGGAAUUCCAUGUGUAGCGGUGAAAUGCGCAGAGAUAUGGAGGAACACCAGUGGCGAAGGCGACUUUCUGGUCUGUAACUGACGCUGAUGUGCGAAAGCGUGGGGAUCAAACAGGAUUAGAUACCCCUGUAGUCCCUGUCUCUUAUAC
RNAcentral lists this ribosomal RNA (301 nucleotides) under uncultured bacterium. RNAcentral describes it as "partial 16S ribosomal RNA". It matches the Rfam family "Bacterial small subunit ribosomal RNA", at positions 509 to 807 of the family's 1533-position model. The record is from RNAcentral.